GUGCUUGCUUCAGCAGCACAUAUACUAAAAUUGGAACGAUACAGGGAAGAUUAUCUUGGCUCCUACACAAGGAUGACACACAAAUUCGUUAAGCAUUCCAUAUUGGG
RNAcentral lists this small nuclear RNA (107 nucleotides) under Meriones unguiculatus (Mongolian gerbil). The record is from RNAcentral. Lineage: Eukaryota; Metazoa; Chordata; Mammalia; Rodentia; Muridae.